Molecule: long non-coding RNA, 1124 nt
Organism: Phasianus colchicus (ring-necked pheasant)
Lineage: Eukaryota; Metazoa; Chordata; Aves; Galliformes; Phasianidae
Source: RefSeq, a predicted model, not a curated record
CUCAGGUGCUCAGGUGAGGCCCAAGGUGUGGGAGCACAGGGCACAGGAGCAGCAGGCUGAUGGGCAGCACCAUGAGGCAAAGUUAGCCAGAGAGGGCUGUGAGACGAGGCUGUUACUCACAGCUGUGCUCAGGGCACAUUUUGCACAUUAGGAACAUUUUGCACGUUAAGCACAUUUGGAAUGAGUAGCAGGAGGGUCUUUCUGGAGCCUGUGUGAGGGAGACGUGGCCACCAGGCUGGCCAGACUAGUGAUGGAGGGCAUGUUGGCUCUCCUCCCAUGGUGAAAAUAAAAUCAAUCACUUUAUUUGCCAUUAAGGGAGUAACUAGAGAAGUGAGGUGGUGGCCUCUGGGGACUGCCUUUUUCUUUUCUGAGGGAAAAGAGCCCCAGUAGCAGAGCAGCUGUGGUGAGGGAGCUGUGGUGGGUGCCCAGCUGUGGGCUUUGAGGGAGCCCCAUGGCUGGAGCCAGACAGUGCUGGUGGCUUUGUGAGGCCUGCCAGCAUGUGCUAGUCUGUGGUCACAUGCAAUAUAUUAGAUUGUAAUAACCUUGUGAGACAGGAUGGAAUGUGACAAGACCUCUCUACAGGCCAGGGCUGUGAGCUGUGGUCCUUGUGGACUGCUACGCAUGGGAUAGCUCUGCUUAUUCACUGACCAGCACAGCCCUAUUGAAGAGCAUGUCUGAGGGAUGCUGCUGUGGAUGAGGUGUGAUCUAAGGGUAGGCAAUUCUGAAUAAUCCUGCCUGAUAACCUACUUACUGCCAAUACCCAAGUACAUCCAAUGCUGUGACUUCUUGGACAAAACAAAAACUUCCUGCUGACUAAUGUCUGCUUUGCCCCAAUCUGCCGGAUGCUCUGACAUCAGCACCUCCCUGUUACUACACUUCUGGAGCAGAGGAAAAGGAACCUUAUGAGUCAUUGAGAUAAUGUGCCUUGGAGGUUCAGCAGAGCACUCCCUCAAUAAAUUUUAAUAUUGUACUAUUCCUACUUAAGGAAAAAUGGAGAUGGACUAUAUGCUACUGAGUGCCAGUUAUUCAUGCCUGGAAAGUCCCUGCUCUUCUCCAUACUCACUGAGGACAAUGUAUUUAGAUACUCUGUGAACUGCAACUGCUCCACCAUUAGUAAAAAGUGA